RNAcentral lists this ribosomal RNA (273 nucleotides) under uncultured bacterium. Its description in RNAcentral is "partial 16S ribosomal RNA". It matches the Rfam family "Bacterial small subunit ribosomal RNA", at positions 524 to 796 of the family's 1533-position model. The record is from RNAcentral.
UACGUAGGGUGCAGGCGUUAAUCGGAAUUACUGGGCGUAAAGCGUGCGCAGGCGGUCUGCUAAGACAGGUGUGAAAUCCCCGGGCUUAACCUGGGAACUGCGCUUGUUACUGGCAGGCUUGAGUGUGGCAGAGGGGGGUGGAAUUCCACGUGUAGCAGUGAAAUGCGUAGAGAUGUGGAGGAACACCGAUGGCGAAGGCAGCCCCCUGGGCUAACACUGACGCUCAUGCACGAAAGCGUGGGGAGCAAACAGGAUUAGAAACCCCAGUAGUCC